RNAcentral lists this microRNA precursor (92 nucleotides) under Canis lupus familiaris (dog). RNAcentral's name for it is "mir-8799 microRNA precursor family". It matches the Rfam family "mir-8799 microRNA precursor family". RNAcentral also lists the same sequence under 1 other name. Lineage: Eukaryota; Metazoa; Chordata; Mammalia; Carnivora; Canidae. The record is from Rfam by way of RNAcentral.
AGGGGGAGAGCCGGAUCUUGGGCUGUGUCCCCCAGCGCCCGCUCUGGGGCCUGUGCCGCUGGAAUUGUGCUCCCAGGGCCGCGCGGCCCCCU